GGAAACUCCCUUAGAGCUGGGGAACAUCCCGAGAAAUCGGGGGUAAUACCCCAUAAGACCACGGCAUCAAAAGGAGCGCUUUAAGAUGGUCCUGCGUCCUAUCAGCUUGUUGGUGAGGUAACGGCCCACCAAGGCUAUGACGGGUAUCCGGCCUGAAAGGGUGAUCGGACACACUGGAACUGAUACACGGUCCAGACUCCUACGGGAGGCAGCAGUGGGGAAUUUUGGACAAUGGGCGAAAGCCUGAUCCAGCGACGCCGCGUGGAGGACGAAGGUCUUCGGAUUGUAAACUCCUUUUAGAGGGGACGAAUGACGGUACCCUCGGAAUAAGCCACGGCUAACUACGUGCCAGCAGCCGCGGUAAUACGUAGGUGGCGAGCGUUACUCAGAAUUACUAGGCGUAAAGCGCUUGUAGGUGGUCAGAUAAGUC
RNAcentral lists this ribosomal RNA (430 nucleotides) under uncultured soil bacterium. RNAcentral's name for it is "bacterial SSU rRNA". It matches the Rfam family "Bacterial small subunit ribosomal RNA", at positions 120 to 589 of the family's 1533-position model. The record is from RNAcentral.